Molecule: long non-coding RNA, 347 nt
Organism: Molossus molossus (Pallas's mastiff bat)
Lineage: Eukaryota; Metazoa; Chordata; Mammalia; Chiroptera; Molossidae
Exons: 3
Source: RefSeq, a predicted model, not a curated record
CACCGGGGGAACGCAGUUAAUAAGAGAGGUCAAGAUUCUGUAUUUAUCACCUUUGCUGAACAACGUUUAAUGGCUUCUUUGUUUCAGAAGUAUUAGGCUUGAGUCCAGAAUAAGGUAUAUGGGGCACUGGAUUGAGAUUGAAGCUAUGGGGUUCCUGAAAUGUUGCAUGUCACCCAGAAAAGAGUAGGACUCCAACCAACUUCAGAUGGACCGUCCUCAGUAAGAACAUUGGAAAAGUACACGUUAGCAUCAACUCUAGGAAUUUGGGUAAUAGACAUCUAGGAAGACAGUUCUAUUAAAGAAAAAUAAAUCCCUCAGAGCUUUCAACAUUAUUAAGGAAAACAAAG